GCCAGACUCCUACGGGAGGCAGCAGUGAGGAAUAUUGGUCAAUGGGCGCGAGCCUGAACCAGCCAAGUCGCGUGAGGGAGGACGGCCCUACGGGUUGUAAACCUCUUUUGCCGGGGAGCAACGGGCGUCACGUGUGGCGCCACUGAGAGUACCCGUAGAACAAGCAUCGGCUAACUCCGUGCCAGCAGCCGCGGUAAUACGGAGGAUGCGAGCGUUAUCCGGAUUUAUUGGGUUUAAAGGGUGCGCAGGCGGCACGGCAGGCCGGCGGUCAAAUCGCGGGGCUCAACCCCGCCCAGCCGUCGGAACUGCCGGGCUAGAGUGGGCGAGAAGUGCGCGGAAUGCGUGGUGUAGCGGUGAAAUGCAUAGAUAUCACACAGAACACCGAUUGCGAAGGCAUCUGACGAAUCGGAGAUUGACGCUGAUGCACGAAAGCGUGGGUAUCGAACAGGAUUAGAUACCCCCGUAAC
Molecule: ribosomal RNA, 467 nt
Filed under: uncultured bacterium
Lineage: Bacteria
Description: bacterial SSU rRNA
Rfam family: Bacterial small subunit ribosomal RNA
Source: RNAcentral